GAUCAUGGCCAGGAUGAACGCUAGCGACAGGCCUAACACAUGCAAGUCGAGGGGCAGCGAAGAGGUAGCAAUACCUUUGUCGGCGACCGGCGCACGGGUGAGUAACACGUAUGCAAUCCACCUGUAACAGGGGGAUAACCCGGAGAAAUCCGGACUAAUACCCCAUAGUAUGGGCGCUCCGCAUGGAGAGCCCAUUAAAGAGAGCAAUUUUGGUUACAGACGAGCAUGCGCUCCAUUAG
Molecule: ribosomal RNA, 239 nt
Filed under: uncultured bacterium
Lineage: Bacteria
Description: partial 16S ribosomal RNA
Rfam family: Bacterial small subunit ribosomal RNA
Source: RNAcentral